UACGAAGGGGGCUAGCGCUGCUCGGAAUCACUGGGCGUAAAGCGCACGCAGGCGGAUCGAUAAGUCGGGGGUGAAAGCCCGGGGCUCAACCUCGGUAUUGCCUUCGAUACUGUCGGUCUGGAGACCGGGAGAGGUGAGUGGAAUUCCUAGUGUAGAGGUGAAAUUCGUAGAUAUUAGGAAGAACACCAGUGGCGAAGGCGGCUCACUGGCCCGGUACUGACGCUCAGGUGCGAAAGCGUGGGGAGCAAGCUGG
Molecule: ribosomal RNA, 253 nt
Filed under: uncultured bacterium
Lineage: Bacteria
Description: partial 16S ribosomal RNA
Rfam family: Bacterial small subunit ribosomal RNA
Source: RNAcentral